AAAAUUGAUCCCAAAAGGGAAAAUUACGCAUUCUACACGCAUUAACAUACUUUUGGUUAGAUCUUCUUGAUUAAUGUAUAUAUUUCCAUGUAUAAGCAUUGUUUCAAUUUAUAGGUUAAAGUUGCUUAACUCUGGGACUAUUAGUUUACACCAGAGACAUAUAUACACAUGUGUAUAUAUAUGUCUCUGCAACAACUAAGAGGUUCUGACUGGGUGACUGGUAUAUACAUAUAUAGUGUAUAUGCAGCGAGGUUGAUAUAUUUGAGUGGCACCGUGCCAUGGAUCUAUAUUAGUGGAAAUACAGAAUCAAAACAUAGUUUUUAUGUGUAUAUUAAUAGAAGGG
RNAcentral lists this long non-coding RNA (343 nucleotides) under Mytilus galloprovincialis (Mediterranean mussel). The record is from RNAcentral. Lineage: Eukaryota; Metazoa; Mollusca; Bivalvia; Mytilida; Mytilidae.